Molecule: long non-coding RNA, 1193 nt
Organism: Symphalangus syndactylus (siamang)
Lineage: Eukaryota; Metazoa; Chordata; Mammalia; Primates; Hylobatidae
Source: RefSeq, a predicted model, not a curated record
CCCCGGCGGGGGCGCGGCCUCGGCGCUCCCAGCAGCGCCGCCUGGCUCAGCCAGGUCCAGGAAGGCCUGGCGCAGCAGGGCCGGGCUUUCGCCGAGCGCGCAGCCUAGCGCCGAGGGCGGCUGAGGCGGGGGCUGCAGGCGAAGACCAGCUCGUCCUGGGGACUCUUGUCGGUGAGCUUGAGAUGACGGCGCCACGAGUUGAAGUUGGCUGCGUCUGGCUGAGUGUACUUGGCGUCCGGCGUGCGGUGGGAGUGGAAAAUGAACUUGUUGGGCGAGAAGUACAUGUUGCAGUAGCUGCAUUUGAUGCACUUGGCGCGCGAGCUGUUGUAGCGCGCGGGGAUGAAGCUGCCGCGGCAUCCCCAGGCGCACUCGUGUGACACGUCGAAGGCGAAAUUGUCUGGCAGCUUGGGCGGCCUGUUUUCGCCCAGGAACGACUUGCACAGACGCUCGGCCUCGCGUUUGGUGAUCAUGCCGCAGCGGCGCGAUGAGAUGGGCAUGGCCCCGGCACGCCGCAGGAUCUCCAGUUGCACCGGCGUGCACUGCACACACGUGAUGCCCAGCGCCACGCGACGGUUGUGGAUCUCGUUGUAGCUGAAGUUCUUGAGCAGAGUGUUGGAGAUCUGCGCCAGGCACAGGCGCUCCUGCCCGUCGAUCACCAACGACACGAUGGGAAUGCCGUAGAGGAUCACCUGGCCCACCUGGUUGGGUUUGAGGUUGGCGUGUCCUGGCCGCGGCUGGCUCAGCGCGUCGGGCUGGAAGGCGCUCGACGGCGACGCCAGCAGGAUGUCGUUGGGCCCCGGCAGCGGACUGGAAGCCAUCUCCGCCGCAGAACCCCGGGCCGAGCCCUACAGGUCUGCCUUGGACACUGGAAGGGAAAGGAGAAAGCGUUGACUUGAGACUUUUCAGACUAAAACAGAGGGGUGGGAUGAGUCGCUAACCAAAGAAUUAGAAUAAGUUUCUUGCUUUGGUUAAGACAUGAUUAUUACUGGAAAAAGUGACCAAGUUUUGAACACAAGAAAGUCAUCUCUUAAUUUCCUUCAAGGUCAUCCUUUAGGAAUGCAGGAAUUUGCACUUCUAAACAUUUAAAGUGAAUUAACUAUGUAUUGUCCUCAAAAGCAGUGAAUUGUAAGAAACCUAAGACCUUAUCCCGGAUUUAUAGAAGCCGUUGGAAUAAAAUGGCUUGCUUCUAGAAA